CCUACGGGUGGCUGCAGUGGGGAAUAUUGCACAAUGGGGGGAACCCUGAUGCAGCGACGCCGCGUGAGUGAUGAAGUAUUUCGGUAUGUAAACUUCUAUCAGCAGGGAAGAAAAUGACGGUACCUGACUAAGAAGCCCCGGCUAACUACGUGCCAGCAGCCGCGGUAAUACGUAGGGGUCAAGCGUUAUCCGGAUUUACUGGGUGUAAAGGGAGCGUAGACGGCAUGGCAAGUCUGAUGUGAAAACCCGGGGCACACCGCCGGGACUGCAUUGGAAACUGCCAGGCUAGAGUGUCGGAGAGGGAAGUGGAAUUCCUAGUGUAGCGGUGAAAUGCGUAGAUAUUAGGAGGAACACCAGUGGCGAAGGCGGCUUGCUGGACGAUAACUGACGUUGAGGCUCGAAAGCGUGGGGAGCAAACAGGAUUAGAUACCCUGGUAGUC
This 440-nucleotide ribosomal RNA is filed under the name uncultured bacterium. RNAcentral's name for it is "partial 16S ribosomal RNA". It matches the Rfam family "Bacterial small subunit ribosomal RNA", at positions 338 to 795 of the family's 1533-position model. The record is from RNAcentral.